UAGGGAAUCUUCCGCAAUGGGCGAAAGCCUGACGGAGCAACGCCGCGUGAGUGAUGAAGGUCUUCGGAUCGUAAAACUCUGUUAUUAGGGAAGAACAAAUGUGUAAGUAACUAUGCACGUCUUGACGGUACCUAAUCAGAAAGCCACGGCUAACUACGUGCCAGCAGCCGCGGUAAUACGUAGGUGGCAAGCGUUAUCCGGAAUUAUUGGGCGUAAAGCGCGCGUAGGCGGUUUUUUAAGUCUGAUGUGAAAGCCCACGGCUCAACCGUGGAGGGUCAGUGGAAACUGGAAAACUUGAGUGCAGAAGAGGAAAGUGGAAUUCCAAGUGGAGCGGUGAAAUGCGCAGAGAUAUGGAGGAACACCAGUGGCGAAGGCGACUUUCUGGUCUGUAACUGACGCUGAUGUGCGAAAGCGUGGGGAGCAAACAGG
Molecule: ribosomal RNA, 429 nt
Filed under: Actinomycetes bacterium
Lineage: Bacteria; Bacillati; Actinomycetota; Actinomycetes
Description: Actinobacteria bacterium partial 16S ribosomal RNA
Rfam family: Bacterial small subunit ribosomal RNA
Source: RNAcentral